GACGCGAUGGAUGGGUCUGCCUUAGGGUUUGUACCUAUCUGUUGCGUCUUUCCUUUUGGAAAACUUGGGUGCUCUUUACUGAGUGCUCAAGCGAUCCAAAACUUUUACUUUGAAAAAAUUAGAGUGUUCAAAGCAGGCUUACGCUUGAAUACAUUAGCAUGGAAUAAUAGAAUAGGACUUUGGUUCUAUUUUGUUGGUUUCUAGGACCGAAGUA
Molecule: ribosomal RNA, 214 nt
Filed under: uncultured fungus
Lineage: Eukaryota; Fungi
Description: partial small subunit ribosomal RNA
Rfam family: Eukaryotic small subunit ribosomal RNA
Source: RNAcentral